AUGACACGUGUCAUCAUCGUGGCGGGUGUAGAGGUUUCAGCAACUAUAAAUAGAGGCCAUCGGAUUUCAUUUGGAAUUCGCUCACGAACGUUUUCUUCUCUCAAAUCUGAAUAUUAGGCAUAAUACUCGGGUAUUAUACCCCCCUAAUUAGCGAAGCUCUGCCUCGUUAUUAUAACCAGGGAACCACAAAGGAAAGCCAUAUAAUAG
This 207-nucleotide long non-coding RNA is filed under the name Helianthus annuus (common sunflower). RNAcentral describes it as "hypothetical non coding rna". Lineage: Eukaryota; Viridiplantae; Streptophyta; Magnoliopsida; Asterales; Asteraceae. The record is from RNAcentral.